GACGAACGCUGGCGGCGUGCCUAAUACAUGCAAGUCGAACGGUGACGCGAGGAGCUUGCUCUUUUUUGGUGGGUUGCGGACGGGUGAGUAACGCGUAGAUCACCUGCUUGGUAUCGGGGGAUAAUUAGUGGAAACGAUAGCUAAUACCACAUAAAAUGGAUUAUCGGAUGAUAAAUGGUAGAAAGGGGCCAAUGCAUCACGAACAGAUGGAUCUGCGUUGUAUUAGUUGGUUGGUGGGGUAACGGCUCACCAAGGGGACGAUUCAUAGCCGACCUGAGCGGGUGAGCGGCCCCACUUGGACUGAGACACGGCCCAGACUCCUUCGGGGAGCAGCAGUAGGGAAUCUUCGGCAAUGGGCGGAAAUCUGACCGAGCCACGCCGGGGUAGGGAAGAAGGGCCUCGGGUCGUAAAGGUCUGUUUUAAGGGAAGAAAGAGCGUGAGAGUGGAACGUCCACACUGUGACGGUAUCUUACCAGAAAGCGACGGCUAACUACGUG
This 497-nucleotide ribosomal RNA is filed under the name uncultured bacterium. Its description in RNAcentral is "partial 16S ribosomal RNA". It matches the Rfam family "Bacterial small subunit ribosomal RNA", at positions 28 to 507 of the family's 1533-position model. The record is from RNAcentral.